RNAcentral lists this ribosomal RNA (499 nucleotides) under uncultured bacterium. RNAcentral describes it as "partial 16S ribosomal RNA". It matches the Rfam family "Bacterial small subunit ribosomal RNA", at positions 28 to 507 of the family's 1533-position model. The record is from RNAcentral.
GACGAACGCUGGCGGCGUGCUUAACACAUGCAAGUCGAACGGGCCCGCCCCUGUUUUUGGGGGUGGGUUGAGUGGCGAACGGGUGAGUAUCACGUGAGUAACCUGCCCCCUGCUCCUGGAUAACUGCUUGAAAGGGCGGCUAAUACGGGGUGUGCCGGCUGGUCCGCAUGGGCCUGGUCGGGAUAGUUUCAUCUUCGGGUGUUUCGGUGGGGGAUGGGCUCGCGGCCUAUCAGCUUGUUGGUGGGGUGAUUGCCCACCAAGGCGGUGACGGGUAGCCGGCCUGAGGGGGUGGGGGGCCACACGGGGACUGGGACACGGCCCAGACGCCUGCGGGAGGCAGCAGUGGGGGGUAUUGCACAAGGGGCGGAAGCCUGAUGCAGCGACGUCGCGUGAGGGAUGGAGGCCUUCGGGUGGUGAACCUCUUUCUCCGGUGGUGAAGGCCCUGUCCGGUGCGGCGGGGUUGACGGUAGCCGGGUAUGAAGCGCCGGCUAACUACGUG